This 253-nucleotide ribosomal RNA is filed under the name uncultured bacterium. Its description in RNAcentral is "partial 16S ribosomal RNA". It matches the Rfam family "Bacterial small subunit ribosomal RNA", at positions 524 to 776 of the family's 1533-position model. The record is from RNAcentral.
UACGUAGGAGACAAGCGUUGUCCGGAAUUACUGGGUGUAAAGAGCGUGUAGGCGGCCAGACAGGUCCGUUGUGAAAACUCGAGGCUCAACCUCGAGAUGUCGAUGGAAACCGUCUGGCUAGAGUCCGGAAGAGGAGUGUGGAAUUCCUAGUGUAGAGGUGAAAUUCGUAGAUAUUAGGAAGAACACCGGUGGCGAAGGCGGCCCACUGGCCCGGUACUGACGCUGAGGUGCGAAAGCGUGGGGAGCAAACAGG